This 392-nucleotide ribosomal RNA is filed under the name uncultured bacterium. RNAcentral's name for it is "partial 16S ribosomal RNA". It matches the Rfam family "Bacterial small subunit ribosomal RNA", at positions 523 to 918 of the family's 1533-position model. The record is from RNAcentral.
AUACGGAGGAUGCGAGCGUUAUCCGGAUUUAUUGGGUUUAAAGGGAGCGUAGGCGGGAGCUUAAGUCAGCGGUUAAAUCGUGGGGCUCAACCCCAUUCUGCCGUUGAUACUGGGUGGCUUGAUUGCGGUCGAGGUUGGCGGAAUUCGUUGUGUAGCGGUGAAAUGCAUAGAUAUGACGAAGAACACCGAUUGCGUAGGCAGCUGACCAGACCGCAAAUGACGCUCAUGCACGAAAGUGCGGGGAUCGAACAGGAUUAGAUACCCUGGUAGUCCGCACAGUAAACGAUGAAUACUUGUUUUCGGCGAUAUAAUGUCGGAGGCAAAGCGAAAGCGAUAAGUAUUCCACCUGGGGAGUACGCCGGCAACGGUGAAACUCAAAUGAAUUGGCGGGG